RNAcentral lists this ribosomal RNA (433 nucleotides) under uncultured bacterium. RNAcentral describes it as "partial 16S ribosomal RNA". It matches the Rfam family "Bacterial small subunit ribosomal RNA", at positions 29 to 507 of the family's 1533-position model. The record is from RNAcentral.
AACGAACGCUGGCGGCAUGCCUAACACAUGCAAGUCGAACGAGACCUUCGGGUCUGGUGGCGCACGGGUGCGUAACGCGUUGGAACCUGCCCUUAGGUUCGGAAUAACUCCCCGAAAGGGGUGCUAAUACCGGAUUAUGUCUUCGGACCAAAGAUUUAUCGCCUUUGGAUGGGCCCGCGUUGGAUUAGCUAGUUGGUAGGGUAAAAGCCUACCAAGGCGACGAUCCAUAGCUGGUCUGAGAGGAUGAUCAGCCACACUGGGACUGAGACACGGCCCAGACUCCUACGGGAGGCAGCAGUGGGGAAUAUUGGACAAUGGGCGAAAGCCUGAUCCAGCAAUGCCGCGUGAGUGAUGAAGGCCUUAGGGUUGUAAAGCUCUUUUACCCGGGAUGAUAAUGACAGUACCGGGAGAAUAAGCUCCGGCUAACUCCGUG